This 1158-nucleotide long non-coding RNA is filed under the name Parus major (Great Tit). Its description in RNAcentral is "lncRNA (ENSPMJG00000009303.1)". Lineage: Eukaryota; Metazoa; Chordata; Aves; Passeriformes; Paridae. The record is from RNAcentral.
UUUUUUCUUCCUUUUUUCUUCCUUUUUUCUUCCUUUUUUCUUCCUUUUUUCUUCCUUUUUUCUUCCUUUUUUCUUCCUUUUUUCUUCCUUUUUUCAUUUUACUUUUACUUUCUUUUCUUUCCCUUUCCCACUUUGCCCCUUUUCCUUUUUUCUCUUUCUGCUUUUUCUCUUCCCCUUUUCCCCCUUUUCCUCUUUCCCCUUUUCUUCUUUUCCCCUUUCCCUUUUUCCCUUUCCCCUUUUCCGCCUUUUCCUCUUCCCCUUUUCUUCUUUUCCCCUUUCCCCUCUUCUCCUUUUCUCUUUUUAUUUUUCCCUUUUUCUUUACUUUUCCUGUAUUUUUCCUUCUUUCUUCUCUUUUUUUCCUCCUCUUUUUCUUCUGUUUUAAAGUACUCCCCCUGCCUAGUUUGAGCUUCUCCCUUCCCCAAGCCUGUGAUCACCCUCUCCCAUAUUACUCCAUGUCCCUGUCUCUCAGAUCCAUAGAAAGCUGAGAAAUUUGUGACAUUUGGAUCCAAUGUCCAGGAAGGUAUGGGAGGAACUGCACAGCUGAGCAUCAUUUCUGCCAUGGAGAUGCUUCACCCCUGACAUCCCGUGGCCUCUCCUGGUGUCCAGGGAAAGAUUCCAUUCCAUCACACAUUGGACACCAGCAGUGUCUGCGUGGAUUUGGCUCUGCAGGAGAAUGAAAUGGGAGAUGGAAUCUGGUCCCUGGUGCACCAGAGGAAGACAUUGCCCCAAACCUCAGCCACUUGUCCCAGCUCUGCCCUGCAGGAUAUUUGAGCUGGGCACCUUCUGUUUGAAGAGCAGGAUUUGCCAAGCUCUGAAGGCAUCCCCAUCCCACAUUCCCUGUGCAAAAAUGAGUGUUCAAGAGCACAGGAGAAAUGGGCUCCAAGGAGGAAGGGCAGGCAGGACUCCCCAUCCCGGGUGAUUGUGGGGAUGAGAGUGUGGAAGAUACUGAACUUCCCACAGGGGUGAUGUCUUAGUCAGAGGAGCAACAUCUCAAGUGUGGUUUGCUGGUUCUGGCUGCCUGGGAUAGUCCAGGCUGGAACCACAGAUUGCUUGCCAGGAGAAUUUUUGAGUCAAACAUUCAAAAUGUGGUUGGGUUUUUUGUCUUCUGUAUUAACAGUUUCUGUGUGAAGCUCAAAUACCUGGAGAACAGGAGCUAAG